UGAGCAAUCUGCCCUUCUCUUCGGAAUAAGCGUUGGAAACGACGUCUAAUGCCGAAUACGACCUCCUUUCGCAUGAUCGGAGGUGGAAAGCUCCGGCGGAGAAGGAUGAGCUCGCGGCCUAUCAGCUAGUUGGUGUGGGUAAUGGCCCACCAAGGCGACGACGGGUAGCCGGCCCGAGAGGGUGACCGGCCACACUGGGACUGAGACACGGCCCAGACCUCCGUACGGGGAGCAGCAGGG
Molecule: ribosomal RNA, 240 nt
Filed under: uncultured bacterium
Lineage: Bacteria
Description: partial 16S ribosomal RNA
Rfam family: Bacterial small subunit ribosomal RNA
Source: RNAcentral